RNAcentral lists this ribosomal RNA (260 nucleotides) under uncultured bacterium. RNAcentral's name for it is "partial 16S ribosomal RNA". It matches the Rfam family "Bacterial small subunit ribosomal RNA", at positions 526 to 779 of the family's 1533-position model. The record is from RNAcentral.
CAGAGGGUGCAAGCGUUAAUCGGAAUUACUGGGCGUAAAGCGCGCGUAGGUGGUUUGUUAAGUUGGAUGUGAAAAUCCCCGGGCGUCAACCUGGGAACGUGCAUUCAAAACUAGACAAAGCUAGAGUAUGGUAGAGGGUGGUGGAAUUUCCUGUGUAGCGGUGAAAUGCGUAGAUAUAGGAAGGAACACCAGUGGCGAAGGCGACCACCUGGACUGAUACUGACACUGAGGUGCGAAAGCGUGGGGGAGCAAACAGGAUU